UUGAAGGUCUCCUAAAGCUAAAAAGUUACUUUGUAUAAACUGUUGAAUAAAGAUAAACCACAGGGGACCAUCCCCAGUCAAAGGCAGGCGGUGUUUCUGUCACAGCAUGUAAGUGUUAAGGAGAAAAGAAGUUGUGUGAACUUGAAAUAAAAUAAUCCAACUUUCUUAAAUCCAUGUUUAAAUACCAAAUCCGUAUGAAGAGGAACUGCCCGCCUCUCUCAGGCAGCCGAUGAUCCCCACCGAAUGUCACUCCUGAUGUACUGCUCUAUGGGGAUAUGGUCUUAUCUGUGACACACCGAGGGAAGAACCACCGCCUGGACGCUCUGCUACUGCUAGUAAGGAGUUUUGUUACAUGCACUGAGUUGUGUACAUGCUGCACUCCGUUGUCCUGGAAAGCAUGGAUAAACAGCAUUAUCCCAUACUCUACGGAAUGUAGGAAAAUCAGUUCCUCCAGUCAGGCUACUGCACGGCUACACAGCCAGGCACGCUAGCUCAAAGCACAGUAACACACGGAACGGAGAACAAGUGAAUGGGCAGCAGUGAUUCUGGAUUACAGAAAAACCCUGAACAACCAAAGUUCUGAUAACCAAAAGCUCUGAUUCAUAACCAUACUGGAUUAAUCAUGGUGGUGCAAAAGGUUACUGCCCCAGAUGUCUGCCCCCCCCUUAUCUUCAAGGUCUCUCUGUUGGAAGUUAUCUCUUCAGUCACUGCAGCUAAACCCAGCAAGGAAUGGGAAUUAAACACAUCUGGUGGUUCCUGAGGAUGGGAAAGUGUGAACAUGAUGGAUCCCUCUCAAGUCCUGGAAAAAACUGUAUUUCCAAAGUCCUGUGCUCUAUGUCCCAGUCCAACUCUUACUAAAGGAAAGAGGCUGACCAGUUACAAACAGAAAUGGAAGAUGAUGGAAGAGCAGGCAAAACGAGUUCUGCAGCUUAAA
Chroicocephalus ridibundus (black-headed gull) is the source of this 934-nucleotide long non-coding RNA. RefSeq lists it as uncharacterized. The record is from RefSeq and is a predicted model, not a curated record. The transcript is spliced from 4 exons. Lineage: Eukaryota; Metazoa; Chordata; Aves; Charadriiformes; Laridae.